UACGGAAGGCAGCAGUGGGGAAUAUUGCACAAUGGGCGAAAGCCUGAUGCAGCUAUGCCGCGUGUAUGAAGAAGGCCUUAGGGUUGUAAAGUACUUUCAUCGGGGAGGAAAAACAAAACUAAUAAUUUUAUUUCUUGACGUUACCCGAAAAAGAAGCACCGGCUAACUCCGUGCCAGCAGCCGCGGUAAUACGGAGGGUGCUAGCGUUAAUCAGAAUUACUGGGCGUAAAGAGCACGUAGGUGGUUUUUUUAAGUCAGAUGUGAAAUUCCCUGGGCUUAACCUAGGAACUGCAUUUUGAAACUGAAAUACUAGAGUAUCGUAGAGGGAGGUAGAAUUCUAGGUGUAGCGGUGAAAUGCGUAGAUAUCUGGAGGAAUACCUGUGGCGAAAGCGGCCUCCUAAACGAAUACUGACACUGAGGUGCGAAAGCGUGGGGAGCAAACAGGGAUUAGAUACC
Molecule: ribosomal RNA, 456 nt
Filed under: uncultured bacterium
Lineage: Bacteria
Description: bacterial SSU rRNA
Rfam family: Bacterial small subunit ribosomal RNA
Source: RNAcentral